Molecule: ribosomal RNA, 329 nt
Filed under: uncultured eukaryote
Lineage: Eukaryota
Description: partial 18S ribosomal RNA
Rfam family: Eukaryotic small subunit ribosomal RNA
Source: RNAcentral
CCCUUAGAUGUCCUGGGCCGCACGCGCGCUACACUGAGUGUCUGAGAUACGAGUCUGCCUGGUCCGGCAAGGUCUAGGUAAUCGCUAAAAGACACAUCAUGCUUGGGAUAGAUUAUUGCAAAUAUUAAUCUUGAACGAGGAAUUCCUAGUAAGCGCAAGUCAACAGCUUGCGUUGAUUACGUCCCUGCCCUUUGUGCACACCGCCCGUCGCUACUACUGAUUGGAUGUUUAAGCGAGGUUCUCGAACUGCUAGCGACUUAGCUUCGGUGAGGUCGCAGUGUGGGAAGUGAACCUAGCUUUGGUGUCUAGAGGAAGUAAAAGUCGUAACA